CUGCAUGCUGCCCUGCCAGAAAAUGCUAGAUCUAGUGGCCAAAAUCCUGACCUGAGUUGCCACAAUGGAGAGCGAAGGCCUCACACAGAGAUUCCAGACUUCAAGUCUAUCACAGACCUGGAGCCCCAUGAUUGAAGGGGAUGCCGAGUCCCUUUGAGGAAGAACCUUUCACCAUUACCACAGCUGAAAGCAAACUUCUUUACUGUGCACAGUACAGAAUAUAAUGCAGCUUGGCAGGAUGCAUAUGGUCCUGUGCAGGGGAAAGUAUUUCAAGUCAACUGGCAGGUUAAAGUCUUUCUGCAAUGAGGACUUUACACAUGCUGGAAAGGCAGCAAGAAAAGAAAAAAAAAAUAUCCAUCCAGAAGGUGCAUGAGUCUGAUGGGAAUGCAGUGAUGAUACAGCCAUCCUAUGUCCUUUGACAGCACAGGUCAUGGAGUUACAGCCACGGAGGGAUAGGUAGCUCAGGCUACAGAAGAUUAUUUUCAUACUUACUAAAAUAGCAUAAAUCCAUCCAGAAAAAAAAAUUCCAAACGAGGAUAAGUAAAGAAAGGGGGAAAAAAAUCCUGUACAGCAUUUACAACAACUAGCCAUAGCUUUUUGAGUCAGCAGUCUGAAAAGUAGACUAUGUGGAAAGAGCACUGAGCUUGAAGACAACAGACCACAGUCAUAGGUCCAGUUUUGCACCAACUUGCUGUGUAACUCUGAAAUUAUUGUUUCCCUUCUAUGAGUUUGUAAUUUUAAUUGAUAUUUAUGAAUCAAACAAAACAUUUGGCAAGGCACUGAGCAGGGAUCUAAACCCUCCUUGUGCUGGUUUGAAACUGUUAUGGACCACAAAAGAGCCAUGAUCUUUUAAUCUAAUCAUGUUGGGUAGAAA
This is a long non-coding RNA of Choloepus didactylus (southern two-toed sloth), 874 nucleotides long. RefSeq lists it as uncharacterized. The record is from RefSeq and is a predicted model, not a curated record. Lineage: Eukaryota; Metazoa; Chordata; Mammalia; Pilosa; Megalonychidae. The transcript is spliced from 3 exons.